This 280-nucleotide long non-coding RNA is filed under the name Aquilegia coerulea. Its description in RNAcentral is "long non-coding RNA (ACOE_LNC000753)". The record is from RNAcentral. Lineage: Eukaryota; Viridiplantae; Streptophyta; Magnoliopsida; Ranunculales; Ranunculaceae.
AUGACUCUAAAUACUAACAAUCGUCUCUUUGCUGUUAGGAUAUUCUUGGGUCAUGUUUCAGGUAUUGAGAAGCUGUACAGUUAUGGGGGAGCUCGAGUAUCUAUGAUUGGAGCUCAUAAAGUAUGGGGGAGUUAUUCUAAAUUCUUCGUUGCUUCCGUUCGGUCUCUGAUGAUUAAAGCGUCUUGAUCAAGAUGGACGUCAAGAAUUGGUGACUUGGUAUGUGUUCUAACUUGAGUGUUUUUGUAGGCAUGAUUUAUAAAUGCCGUGGUUUGGGUUUGUA